CUGUCUCUCUCUCUCUCUCUCUGUUUCCCUUUUGAUUUCUCUCUAAUUCUUAUUUGGUUUAGUAAUAUCAAGUUGCUUGGUAUGGGUAUGCUAUGCUCUGUUUUCUUGAUUACCUCGACUUAUUAAUGAUGCUAUUGUUGCUUUCGUGGUAACUGUAGUCUAUGCUUGCUGUGUGAGAAAAUGCGGUAUAGUAGUCUUGACAUUAAUUGAGCUUCGCUUAUUGACCCACCAACCAUGCUGAUUAAUUUAGAUGCAUGAAUGAAUAGCUCUAAAUUUAUGCAAUUUAAUUGAUGAACUUAUCGUGUUUGAGAUGGGAGGGUUCCACAGAUUCCUACGACUGAUUCGGUUUGGUGAUAGAUUCAAUUUUCUCUAAUGGAUUGUUAGAAAUUUUAGAUUUUUAAGUGACAAGCAGUGUGCAGUGGCGCAAAAAAGUUUCAAGGAGUACAAAUUUUUUCCAUAUUACAUUGAGAACGCCUGAUUGCGCUAAGUUAGAAUCUAAAGUUUUCCACUUUAAGUGUCUGACAGAUGGCAUAUUACAUAUAUCAAGUGUUAAUCUUCUGCAGGUUAAUCCAGCAAAUGAGAAAAUGCUUGGAGGCGGAGGUGCAGAUGGAGGUACUCUUGUCUUUUAUAAUCUUCUUUUUAAUUUACUAACUUGAUUUGAGGUUACUUCUGAUAAAUAUUGCAUCUUCCUAGCCAUACAUAGGGCUGCUGGACCAGAACUCCUAGAUGCAUGCUAUAGGGUCCCUGAAGUCCAACCUGGAGUUCGCUGCCCAACAGGAGAAGCAAGAAUUACUCUAGGUUUCAAAUUGCCUGCAUCUCAUGUGAUUCACACUGUUGGCCCUAUCUAUGACACUGAUAGAGGCCCUGCGUCCUCCCUGAAAAACGCGUACAGGAACAGCUUGACAGUGGCCAAGGACAACAACAUCAAGUAUAUUGCAUUUCCUGCUAUAUCUUGUGGUGUUUAUGGAUAUCCAUAUGAGGAAGCUGCUUCAGUGGCUAUAUCGACAGUCAAAGAAUUUGCUGAUGACUUAAAAG
This 1035-nucleotide unclassified non-coding RNA is filed under the name Hevea brasiliensis (rubber tree). The record is from RNAcentral. Lineage: Eukaryota; Viridiplantae; Streptophyta; Magnoliopsida; Malpighiales; Euphorbiaceae.